Molecule: non-coding RNA, 25 nt
Filed under: Mus musculus (house mouse)
Lineage: Eukaryota; Metazoa; Chordata; Mammalia; Rodentia; Muridae
Source: RNAcentral
UAACAAAUAUGGUUUCUCUCUUGCU